Molecule: ribosomal RNA, 166 nt
Filed under: uncultured bacterium
Lineage: Bacteria
Description: partial 16S ribosomal RNA
Rfam family: Bacterial small subunit ribosomal RNA
Source: RNAcentral
ACGGGAGGCAGCAGUGAGGAAUAUUGGUCAAUGGGCGAGAGCCUGAACCAGCCAAGUAGCGUGCAGGAUGACGGCCCUCCGGGUUGUAAACUGCUUUUAGUUGGGAAUAAAAAAAGGGACUUGUCCCUUCUUGUAUGUACCUUCAGAAAAAGGACCGGCUAAUUCC